UGACCAGUUGGGAGCUGCUCCUGCGAGCAUUCCAUCUAACGCUGUUCUCUGACUAGGAGUCCCUUCGCACAGAAACUUCAAGACAGCCAGGGGACAACAGGACUGUUAAGUGUGAUGCUGGCUGAGCUUCAUCUUUUUAACCCAGGAAUCUGACAUCACUUUUUCACAGCGGAAAAGAAAGAGGAGAAUUAACUAUGGAAUAAUAG
This is a non-coding RNA of Pelobates cultripes (western spadefoot toad), 206 nucleotides long. The record is from the annotation of a GenBank genome assembly. Lineage: Eukaryota; Metazoa; Chordata; Amphibia; Anura; Pelobatidae.